GAACUGCGAUAAGUCAUGUGAAUUGCAGAAUUCAGUGAAUCAUCGAGUCUUUGAACGCACAUUGCGCCCCCUGGCAUUCCGGGGGGCAUGCCUGUCCGAGCGUCAUUGCUGCCCUUCAAGCCCGGCUUGUGUGUUGGGUCGUCGUCCCCUCCGGGGGACGGGCCCGAAAGGCAGCGGCGGCACCGCGUCCGGUCCUCGAGCGUAUGGGGCUUUGUCACCCGCUCGAUAAGGACCGGCCGGGCGCCAGCCGGCGUCUCCAACCUUUUUUUCUCAGGUUGACCUCGGAUCAGGUAGGGAUACCCGCUGAACUUAAGC
RNAcentral lists this unclassified non-coding RNA (315 nucleotides) under plant metagenome. RNAcentral describes it as "partial contains 5.8S ribosomal RNA, internal transcribed spacer 2, and large subunit ribosomal RNA". The stretch from base 1 to 105 matches the Rfam family "5.8S ribosomal RNA", at positions 50 to 154 of the family's 154-position model. The record is from RNAcentral.